GGAUCCAGACUUUGAUUCUGGCUCAGGAUGAACGCUAGCUACAGGCCUAACACAUGCAAGUCGAGGGGAAACGGCAGCUUAGCUUGCUAAGCUGGACGUCGACCGGCGCACGGGUGAGUAACGCGUAUCCAACCUGCCCCACGGUGAGGGAUAACCCGCGGAAACGCGGCCUAAUACCUCAUGGUCUCCGAGCUUGACAUCAAUCUUGGAGUAAAGACUCAUUGCCGUGGGAUGGGGAUGCGUCUGAUUAGCUUGUUGGCGGGGCAACGGCCCACCAAGGCAACGAUCAGUAGGGGUUCUGAGAGGAAAGCCCCCCACAUUGGAACUGAGACACGGUCCAAACUCCUACGGGAGGCAGCAGUGAGGAAUAUUGGUCAGUGGGCGAGAGCCUGAACCAGCCAAGUAGCGUGCAGGAAGACGGCCCUAUGGGUUGUAAACUGCUUUUAUGCGGGGAUAAAGGGGGCGACGUGUCGCCCUUUGCAGGUACCGCAUGAAUAAGGACCGGCUAAUUCCGUGCCAGCAGCCGCGGUAAUACGGAAGGUCCGGGCGUUAUCCGGAUUUAUUGGGUUUAAAGGGAGCGCAGGCCGGGUAUUAAGCGUGUUGUGAAAUGUAGGCGCCCAACGUCUGCACCGCAGCGCGAACUGGUGCCCUUGAGUACGCACGACGUUGGCGGAAUUCGCCGUGUAGCGGUGAAAUGCUUAGAUAUGGCGAAGAACUCCGAUUGCGAAGGCAGCUGACGGGAGCGCUACUGACGCUCAUGCUCGAAAGCGCGGGUAUCGAACAGGAUUAGAUACCCUGGUAGUCCGCGCGGUAAACGAUGGAUGCCCGCUAUUUGCGCAUUAGCGCAAGUGGCCAAGUGAAAACGUUAAGCAUCCCACCUGGGGAGUACGCCGGCAACGGUGCAACUCAAAGGAAUUGACGG
RNAcentral lists this ribosomal RNA (922 nucleotides) under uncultured Bacteroidota bacterium. RNAcentral describes it as "bacterial SSU rRNA". It matches the Rfam family "Bacterial small subunit ribosomal RNA", at positions 1 to 916 of the family's 1533-position model. Lineage: Bacteria; Pseudomonadati; Bacteroidota. The record is from RNAcentral.